RNAcentral lists this non-coding RNA (148 nucleotides) under Ditylum brightwellii. Lineage: Eukaryota; Bacillariophyta; Thalassiosirophyceae; Lithodesmiales; Lithodesmiaceae. The record is from RNAcentral.
CACAAGCGGUGGAAGAGACGUAUGUAUCGGACAUGUAUGCUGGAGUGACGAUGGUAAUCGAUAUGCCUUCUGCAGAAGUAAUCGAGUGUCAGUGAAAGAUGUAGGUAGUGGUGAAGAUUUAUUAGAUGUGGAAUUACCAUCACGUGUG